This 487-nucleotide ribosomal RNA is filed under the name uncultured bacterium. RNAcentral describes it as "bacterial SSU rRNA". It matches the Rfam family "Bacterial small subunit ribosomal RNA", at positions 30 to 498 of the family's 1533-position model. The record is from RNAcentral.
AUUGAACGCUGGCGGCAGGCUUAACACAUGCAAGUCGAGCGGUAGCACAAGAGAGCUUGCUCUCUGGGUGACGAGCGGCGGACGGGUGAGUAAUGUCUGGGAAACUGCCUGAUGGAGGGGGAUAACUACUGGAAACGGUAGCUAAUACCGCAUAACGUCGCAAGACCAAAGAGGGGGACCUUCGGGCCUCUUGCCAUCAGAUGUGCCCAGAUGGGAUUAGCUAGUAGGUGGGGUAAUGGCUCACCUAGGCGACGAUCCCUAGCUGGUCUGAGAGGAUGACCAGCCACACUGGAACUGAGACACGGUCCAGACUCCUACGGGAGGCAGCAGUGGGGAAUAUUGCACAAUGGGCGCAAGCCUGAUGCAGCCAUGCCGCGUGUAUGAAGAAGGCCUUCGGGUUGUAAAGGUACUUUUCAGCGGGGAGAAGGGNGUAAAGGUUAAUACCUUUUGCUCGAAUUGACGUUUACCCGCAGAAGAAGCACCGGCU